UCUCCGUAGGUGAACCUGCGGAGGGAUCAUUACAGAGUUCUCGCCCUCGCGGUUAGUACUCCCACCCACUGUUAUCGUUACUGGCGUUUCUUUGGCGGGCCGCCGGGUCCCCUGCCGCCGGCCCCUAAUAAGCCGGGCGCGCUCGCCAAACGUCUUCCAACCCUGUACGUUAGAGUCAUCUGAAUACAAUUUAUUAGUUAAAACUUUCAACAACGGACAUCUUGUUUCUGGCAUCCAUGAAGAACGCACCAGAACGGAACAGCAUACGUCUGAACUCCC
This 279-nucleotide unclassified non-coding RNA is filed under the name plant metagenome. RNAcentral's name for it is "partial contains small subunit ribosomal RNA, internal transcribed spacer 1, and 5.8S ribosomal RNA". The record is from RNAcentral.